GAGGAGCUUGCUCUUCUUGGAUGAGUUGCGAACGGGUGAGUAACGCGUAGGUAACCUGCCUUGUAGCGGGGGAUAACUAUUGGAAACGAUAGCUAAUACCGCAUAACAAUGGGUGACUCAUGUCAUUUAUUUGAAAGGGGCAAAUGCUCCACUACAAGAUGGACCUGCGUUGUAUUAGCUAGUAGGUGAGGUAACGGCUCACCUAGGCGACGAUACAUAACCGACCUGAGAGGGUGAUCGGCCACACUGGGACUGAGACACGGCCCAGACUCCUACGGGAGGCAGCAGUAGGGAAUCUUCGGCAAUGGGGGCAACCCUGACCGAGCAACGCCGCGUGAGUGAAGAAGGUUUUCGGAUCGUAAAACUCUGUUGUAAGUCAAGAACGAGUGUGAGAGUGGAAAGUUCACACUGUGACGGUAGCUUACCAGAAAGGGACGGCUAACUACGUGCCAGCAGCCGCGGUAAUACGUAGGUCCCGAGCGUUGUCCGGAUUUAUUGGGCGUAAAGCGAGCGCAGGCGGUUUGAUAAGUCUGAAGUUAAAGGCUGUGGCUCAACCAUAGUUCGCUUUGGAAACUGUCAAACUUGAGUGCAGAAGGGGAGAGUGGAAUUCCAUGUGUAGCGGUGAAAUGUGUAGAUAUAUGGAGGAACACCGGUGGCGAAAGCGGCUCUCUGGUCUGUAACUGACGCUG
This 689-nucleotide ribosomal RNA is filed under the name Streptococcus sp. HXF0018. Its description in RNAcentral is "bacterial SSU rRNA". It matches the Rfam family "Bacterial small subunit ribosomal RNA", at positions 73 to 748 of the family's 1533-position model. Lineage: Bacteria; Bacillati; Bacillota; Bacilli; Lactobacillales; Streptococcaceae. The record is from RNAcentral.